UACAGAGACUGCAGGCGUUAUUCGGAUUCACUGGGCGUAAAGGGUGCGCAGGCGGCCGUGUGUGUUAGGUGUGAAAGCCCGAGGCUUAACCUCGGAAUUGCGCCUAAAACUACACGGCUAGAGCAUUGGAGAGGGUAGCAGAAUUCAUGGUGUAGCAGUGAAAUGCGUAGAUAUCAUGAGGAAUACCAGAGGCGAAGGCGGCUACCUGGACAAUUGCUGACGCUCAGGCACGAAAGCGUGGGGAGCAAAAGGG
This 253-nucleotide ribosomal RNA is filed under the name uncultured bacterium. Its description in RNAcentral is "partial 16S ribosomal RNA". It matches the Rfam family "Bacterial small subunit ribosomal RNA", at positions 524 to 776 of the family's 1533-position model. The record is from RNAcentral.